RNAcentral lists this long non-coding RNA (234 nucleotides) under Setaria italica (foxtail millet). RNAcentral's name for it is "long non-coding RNA (SITA_LNC006787)". The record is from RNAcentral. Lineage: Eukaryota; Viridiplantae; Streptophyta; Magnoliopsida; Poales; Poaceae.
GAUCUAGAGGUAUGUGAUUAUUUGGAGGAGGAGUAGCAGGAGUAGGCGCCGCAGAGCUUUCCGACAUAGUUGGAGCAGGAGCCGGUGCAGCAGAACCUUCCGACGUAGUUGGAACAGGAGUAGGUUCAGCAGCGCCUUCCAACGUAGUUCAACCAGGAGCCGGGGCAAGAGAGGCUUUCGAUGUAGCGAGACUAGGAGCAGGUGCAAGAGAGCCUUCUGACGUAGCAAUACCAG